AAUGAGUUGACUCCCCACCCUCACUGGGAGCAGAGGGUACCUCAGAACAGACAGGAACAUAAGGAGCUGCUCAGUGCCCUCUCCUGCCCUGUCUCAUUUGAUUUGUGUAAAGCAGUGGCAAGGACUGAGCAUGUUGUUGGAGAGUUAUCAAAAUUAUCUGAAAGUAAUGACAGUGAAGCUUUAUCAAAUGGGGUCUCUUUAUUUUAUGAAGUUUUAAAGUUUAUAACAUCAGAAACGAAACAGUAUCCACCAACCUGCCAGUUCCUCUCAUCAUGUAUACAAAUACUGGGACAAGUAAAUCAUUUAAUAUUGUCACAUGUACAAU
Long non-coding RNA from Amphimedon queenslandica, 325 nucleotides. RefSeq lists it as uncharacterized. NCBI's taxonomy places the organism in Eukaryota, Metazoa, Porifera, Demospongiae, Haplosclerida, Niphatidae. The record is from RefSeq and is a predicted model, not a curated record. The transcript is spliced from 3 exons.